Molecule: long non-coding RNA, 1073 nt
Organism: Alexandromys fortis (reed vole)
Lineage: Eukaryota; Metazoa; Chordata; Mammalia; Rodentia; Cricetidae
Exons: 5
Source: RefSeq, a predicted model, not a curated record
CAACAUUCGGCAGUGAGCCUGAGUAUCGCUGGCUCUAGGAGCCUUGAGAAUCUCUGUCCAAAGCUCUGACAGGACUGACAGAAUUUUAGAUCAGCUGACCAAGGAAAAAUGAGAAGUCUCAAAGAUUUUCUCAGCGCCAGAUGAGAAGAGACUAGAAAGAACAUAUAGAAGCUGCAGCUGCCUGCGUUGGUUGAGAGGACGUCCUGCCAUCCCUCAGCUGAGUGGACACUUAGGGACAUUCUUAUGGUGCUUCCGAGGGAGGUGAGUCUCCUAAGAGAGUCGUCCAUGGGAAGGCUCACCAGAGGAAGGAGUGUGGCUGCCGUGGCUUGGCACUGUAUCCACAAGUUUCAGAGGUUGGACUGCAUAGGGCAACAGCAGAGCACUUGCCUAACACAUCCAGACUGGAGGGAAGAAGAGGGGAGUACUGAGAAUUGAACCCCAAAGCAUUGUGCAUGCUAGGCAAUGUCCUACCACUGCGUUACAUCUCCAGCGAUCAAUGAUGGUGUUAGGAAAAUCUCUCAGACCUUCUGGGUCAGACAGGCAAAGGCUGAUGCUGCCCAGUGUGGUAGCUGAGGAUCAAGAUCCUGCAUGACAGCUGAAGACAACUGCUUCUACCCCCAAGAAAGCCAGCAAGAUGGUGGCAGCCUAGGGUAACCACCCAGCUACAGCAAGUCCUCCCUUUCCUGAGUUUAGGCCACUUGGAUUACACUUCCUGCUAUAAUGUAUCCUUCUCAGAUCUCUGAUGAUUUUGACCGGCUAACUGUAUCCUUUAAAGCAGCCUGGGUACCAGCUCCUUCCCGGAGGCUGCAGUUAACCUUGAUAGUUCAUUUGAAUCAGGCCUCAGGCUUCAUUUUUCUAGAGCUGCUAGGACUCCUAGAAAUAGGCAGAUGCUCUCUACUGAUAAAGAUAAACUGUGUUUCAAAGUAACUAUUUACUAUCAAUUUACUUAAAGAAGCUUGCCUUACUCUUUUCCGUCUUCCUCUCGGAGAGGCAGCUUUGCUUCUGCCUCUCUCCCCACUUCUCUGCUUCCCCCCUUCUCUGUCUCUUUCUCCUCCUCCUCCUCCUCCUCCUCC